CCUACGGGAGGCAGCAGUGGGGAAUCUUGCGCAAUGGGCGAAAGCCUGACGCAGCCAUGCCGCGUGAAUGAUGAAGGUCUUAGGAUUGUAAAAUUCUUUCACCGGGGAAGAUAAUGACUGUACCCGGAGAAGAAGCUCCGGCUAACUUCGUGCCAGCAGCCGCGGUAAUACGAAGGGGGCUAGCGUUGCUCGGAAUUACUGGGCGUAAAGGGAGCGUAGGCGGACAGUUAAGUCAGUGGUGAAAGCCCAGAGCUCAACUCUGGAAUAGCCUUUGAUACUGAUUGUCUUGAGUAUGGGAGAGGUAUGCGGAACUCCGAGUGUAGAGGUGAAAUUCGUAGAUAUUCGGAAGAACACCAGUGGCGAAGGCGGCAUACUGGCCCAUUACUGACGCUGAGGCUCGAAAGCGUGGGGAGCAAACAGGAUUAGAUACCCUGGUAGUCCACGCUGUAAACGAUGAGUGCUAGUUGUCGGCAUGCAUGCAUGUCGGUGACGCAGCUAACGCAUUAAGCACUCCGCCUGGGGAGUACGGUCGCAAGNUUAAAACUCAAAUGAAUUGACGG
Molecule: ribosomal RNA, 560 nt
Filed under: uncultured bacterium
Lineage: Bacteria
Description: bacterial SSU rRNA
Rfam family: Bacterial small subunit ribosomal RNA
Source: RNAcentral